RNAcentral lists this ribosomal RNA (558 nucleotides) under uncultured crenarchaeote. Its description in RNAcentral is "bacterial SSU rRNA". It matches the Rfam family "Archaeal small subunit ribosomal RNA", at positions 325 to 879 of the family's 1478-position model. Lineage: Archaea; Thermoproteati; Thermoproteota. The record is from RNAcentral.
AUGGGGUGCAGCAGGGGCGAAACCUCCGCAAUGCGGGCAACCGUGACGGGGUAACCCCGAGUGCCGGCUGGGGUAUCCUGGCCGGCUUUUCCGGGGUCUAAAAAGCCCCGGGAAUAAGCGGGGGGCAAGGCGCGUGCCAGCCGCCGCGGUAACACGUCGCCCCGCGAGUGGUGCCCACGAAUAUUGGGCCUAAAGCGCCCGUAGCCGGCCUGGUAAGUCCCCGGUUAAAUCGGCGGGCCUAACCCGUCGGCUGCCGGGGAUACUGCCAGGCUCGGGACCGGGAGAGGCCGGGGGUAGCCCCGGGGUAGGGGCCAAAUCCUGUAAUCCCGGGGGGACCACCUGUGGCGAAGGCGCCCGGCCAGAACGGGUCCGACGGUGAGGGGCGAAAGCUGGGGGAGCGAACCGGAUUAGAGACCCGGGUAGUCCCAGCCGUCAACGAUGCGGGCUAGGUGUUGCAGGGGCUUAGGGCCCCUGCAGCGCCGUAGGGAAGCCGUUAAGCCCGCCGCCUGGGGAGUACGGCCGCAAGGCUGAAACCUAAAGGAAUUGGCGGGGGAGCAC